AGUAAUACAUCGGAACGUGUCUUCUAGUGGGGGAUAACUGCCCGAAAGGGCAGCUAAUACCGCAUGAGACCUGAGGGUGAAAGCGGGGGAUCGCAAGACCUCGCGCUGGAAGAGCGGCCGAUGUCUGAUUAGCUAGUUGGUGAGGUAAAGGCUCACCAAGGCGACGAUCGGUAGCUGGUCUGAGAGGACGACCAGCCACACUGGGACUGAGACACGGCCCAG
Molecule: ribosomal RNA, 222 nt
Filed under: uncultured bacterium
Lineage: Bacteria
Description: partial 16S ribosomal RNA
Rfam family: Bacterial small subunit ribosomal RNA
Source: RNAcentral